Molecule: ribosomal RNA, 1369 nt
Filed under: uncultured bacterium
Lineage: Bacteria
Description: bacterial SSU rRNA
Rfam family: Bacterial small subunit ribosomal RNA
Source: RNAcentral
GACGAACGCUGGCGGCGUGCCCAAUACAUGCAAGUAGAACGCUGAAGAGAGGAGCUUGCUCUUCUUGGAUGAGUUGCGAACGGGUGAGUAACGCGUAGGUAACCUGCCUUGUAGCGGGGGAUAACUAUUGGAAACGAUAGCUAAUACCGCAUAACAAUGGAUGACACAUGUCAUUUAUUUGAAAGGGGCAAUUGCUCCACUACAAGAUGGACCUGCGUUGUAUUAGCUAGUAGGUGAGGUAAUGGCUCACCUAGGCGACGAUACAUAGCCGACCUGAGAGGGUGAUCGGCCACACUGGGACUGAGACACGGCCCAGACUCCUACGGGAGGCAGCAGUAGGGAAUCUUCGGCAAUGGGGGCAACCCUGACCGAGCAACGCCGCGUGAGUGAAGAAGGUUUUCGGAUCGUAAAGCUCUGUUGUAAGUCAAGAACGGGUGUGAGAGUGGAAAGUUCACACUGUGACGGUAGCUUACCAGAAAGGGACGGCUAACUACGUGCCAGCAGCCGCGGUAAUACGUAGGUCCCGAGCGUUGUCCGGAUUUAUUGGGCGUAAAGCGAGCGCAGGCGGUUUGAUAAGUCUGAAGUUAAAGGCUGUGGCUCAACCAUAGUUCGCUUUGGAAACUGUCAAACUUGAGUGCAGAAGGGGAGAGUGGAAUUCCAUGUGUAGCGGUGAAAUGCGUAGAUAUAUGGAGGAACACCGGUGGCGAAAGCGGCUCUCUGGUCUGUAACUGACGCUGAGGCUCGAAAGCGUGGGGAGCGAACAGGAUUAGAUACCCUGGUAGUCCACGCCGUAAACGAUGAGUGCUAGGUGUUGGAUCCUUUCCGGGAUUCAGUGCCGCAGCUAACGCAUUAAGCACUCCGCCUGGGGAGUACGACCGCAAGGUUGAAACUCAAAGGAAUUGACGGGGGCCCGCACAAGCGGUGGAGCAUGUGGUUUAAUUCGAAGCAACGCGAAGAACCUUACCAGGUCUUGACAUCCCGAUGCUAUUUCUAGAGAUAGAAAGUUACUUCGGUACAUCGGUGACAGGUGGUGCAUGGUUGUCGUCAGCUCGUGUCGUGAGAUGUUGGGUUAAGUCCCGCAACGAGCGCAACCCCUAUUGUUAGUUGCCAUCAUUCAGUUGGGCACUCUAGCGAGACUGCCGGUAAUAAACCGGAGGAAGGUGGGGAUGACGUCAAAUCAUCAUGCCCCUUAUGACCUAGGCUACACACGUGCUACAAUGGUUGGUACAACGAGUUGCGAGUCGGUGACGGCGAGCUAAUCUCUUAAAGCCAAUCUCAGUUCGGAUUGUAGGCUGCAACUCGCCUACAUGAAGUCGGAAUCGCUAGUAAUCGCGGAUCAGCACGCCGCGGUGAAUACGUUCCCGGGCCU